Molecule: non-coding RNA, 21 nt
Organism: Caenorhabditis elegans
Lineage: Eukaryota; Metazoa; Nematoda; Chromadorea; Rhabditida; Rhabditidae
Source: Ensembl
UCGUCGUUGAAGUUGUUCAAU